CUUCAGUCAGCUUUUAAGCUUUAUCAUAUUUAAAUGUAUUCCUUUAUCCAUGAUUUAUAAUUUUAUUAAAAAAAAUAGGAUUGUUGGGGAGAAUCAUUCUGGUGCUGAAAAAUAUUGAUGAUUGAUUAUAAUUCACAUAAAAAAGUUAGUUCAUAGAUUUGAGUGAAUAUGGAAUAGAGGUAAUCAUACUCUUGUCUUCAAUGAAAAUUAAUUUAUUCUUUUUUCUUUCUACUUCAGCAACUUCACAACUAUUUCACAGGGACUCUUGGAAUUCCAAUUUGGGGUUCAUAUUUCAUCUUUGUUAUAGCCACACUGAUGAUUGGCCUUAUCCUUGGUCUGAUACUAGUUUUACUUGCAGACUGCUUUUGUCCACCUAAACCAAGAGAUGGAAUAGAUCAAUCUGAAUUAAUUGAAAAGGAGAAGGAAGCUCUGAUAGUUGAAGAUCUAGGAAUUUCAGAGGGAAAAAAAGACCUUUCAGAUGAAGAGGAAGAGAAAGAUGAUCUCUCAGAGGGAGAAGACGACAAAGAAGAUGUUUCAGAACGAGAAGAGGAAAGAAGCAAUUCAAAUGAUGAAACUUCUGAAGAUGACUCUGCAGUGGAUGAAGGAUCAGCAACUGAAGAUGCAGGGAAUAUCCCGGACCAACAGUUGACUGAUGUGGAGGCUGAAAGCUCAGUGAGGCAGCGCAAAAGUCAUGUUGCUGAUGGAGAACAGUAA
Molecule: long non-coding RNA, 714 nt
Filed under: Sarcophilus harrisii (Tasmanian devil)
Lineage: Eukaryota; Metazoa; Chordata; Mammalia; Dasyuromorphia; Dasyuridae
Description: lncRNA (ENSSHAG00000028013.1)
Source: RNAcentral